RNAcentral lists this ribosomal RNA (253 nucleotides) under uncultured bacterium. RNAcentral describes it as "partial 16S ribosomal RNA". It matches the Rfam family "Bacterial small subunit ribosomal RNA", at positions 524 to 776 of the family's 1533-position model. The record is from RNAcentral.
UACGUAGGGGGCAAGCGUUGUCCGGAUUUAUUGGGCGUAAAGCGCUCGCAGGUGGUUCGUCGCGUCGUGCGUGAAAGACCCCGGCUCAACUGGGGGAGGUCGUGCGAUACGGGCGGACUGGAGGCCAGUAGGGGGAUGCGGAAUUCCGGGUGUAGUGGUGGAAUGCGUAGAGAUCGGAAAGAACGCCAACGGCGAAAGCACUCUGCUGGGCCGACACUGACACUGAGAGACGAAAGCUAGGGGAGCGAAUGGG